Molecule: long non-coding RNA, 1627 nt
Organism: Tachysurus vachellii
Lineage: Eukaryota; Metazoa; Chordata; Actinopteri; Siluriformes; Bagridae
Exons: 3
Source: RefSeq, a predicted model, not a curated record
AAGAAAGUGAGUAGAAACAAGUUGCCAAAAAAAUUAUUUCUUGCUAAAAUUUAUUAUUAAACCUUUUGUCGUUACAUAUGUGUAUUAUAUUAGUCAAAAGAUUAUCCAAAAACAUAAGCCACUUUUAAACAUAUUUGAGGUCCACUUCUUGUUUAAAAUCAUCUUUUAUGAUGUCACAUGAAUUACAUUUUGACUUUUAUGGCCAACACCCUUAUGUAGAAGCUAAAUGAGCAAGUGCUUUGAAGUCUUUCUCAAUAAAUACAUUUGUACUGGUUUAUAGGUCACAGACUAAGGAUAUCAUAAGUCUAAAACUCUGCCGAUAUAACCGGAAAGGCAAGACUAGCUGAUUUCGGCAUAAGUCGAAGACUGAAGUUGGGGGAGACGACUUGCCGCACUAAUCCUGCUGGAAAGUACUGAAAAGCCAGAGAGACGCUUGAAGAGGACAGUAACAGUGGCUACAAGAGGAGUUCUGACAUUCAGCCAACUCCACAGCUGCAUCAACCCUUUUGGCUGUGAUGCUUGAAGUGUCAGACUGCUUACUGAUGCUAGACUGAGAGGCAGUACCUUAGAUGGAGCGGGCGUACUGUUGUGACGGUAGCUGAUGAAGACGCUGCCUUUCUCUAUCUUCAUCAAAAUCACUGUCCAUUGCUGUUAUACGUUCAUUAAGUAUUUUCAUAAUGUCCUUAGUUACUGCUUCACAAGAGUCCAUUUUGCGUCUUGUGUCAGGGGAUGGCAUAAUACGCUCCCUUAUUUCAUUGUACACCAUCAUGUUGUUCAAACCAUUUUCAAUGUGAUUGGCCAUUGCACACAACUUGUGCUCUGAUAAGUCAGUCUUUAGGCUUUCUCUGGAUGUUCUGAUUAGCCCUUUCCAUUGUUCAUAGAGACUUAUCAGUUUUUUUGUGCUUUUUAAUCAAUUCGUUUUCAAUUUUUUGUGAACUUUAAUCCAACCAGAUAUAUCACCAGUGUAAGAACUUUUGCCUCUUCUGAGGGGCUGCAAGUAUAUAUAAGAUAUUAACCUUAUUUGGAAUAUCAUGUUGUACUAUAUAAACUGCGCUAGCCAGAGUGCACGCGCGCCUCAUAAAACAAAAAAAAAGGGGUGUAGCUUAAGACCGUAAGUCAACUAUGGCAAUACAAUGGUUUCAAAAUAAGACAAUCGCAUUUCCUGUAUUAUAAUAUACUUAUGGUUAUUUACACAUUACUGUAUAUAUUAUUGUGUAAAUACAUGAUUGUAUAUUUUAUUGUGUAUAUAUUGUAUACAUUAUUGUGUGUGUAUAUGCGGGUGUGUAUAUAUUAUUGUAUAUAUGUUCAGGUUAGUGUUAGAUUUAGGUGUAGCCUAGCAUUAAAGAGAUGCAUCAAUAUUUAUGUAAAUUACAUAGGUUAACAAUUUAUUUUAUAUUUUAUAUUAGAUAGUGUUUUAGAUUUUCAUGAAUGUAUUUCAAUUAGAAAAACAUUUAAUAAAAAACAGUGACAGACAUGACCUAUCUGAACAAACCUAAAACAAUGAGGUUAAUUAUGAACUUAAUUAUCUCAUCCUCAUUCAGUCUAGUUAAAAUUUUGUGACUGUUUACAUCUAGAAAAAGAAACAUUUCCCAACAGAGUCCCACCAUUAUGCUUCAGACCAUCCACU